CGCUGGCUCAGCCGGGCGUGGGCGCGGCGACGUGCCUUUAUGUGGGGCGGGGCGACGCCGGGUUCUGGUCGCGGCUGGUGGC
RNAcentral lists this transfer RNA (82 nucleotides) under Novosphingobium pituita. RNAcentral describes it as "Novosphingobium sp. IK01 tRNA-Ile". Lineage: Bacteria; Pseudomonadati; Pseudomonadota; Alphaproteobacteria; Sphingomonadales; Sphingomonadaceae. The record is from RNAcentral.